GGCCUGACGCAGCGACGCCGCGUGAAGGAAGAAGGCUUUCGGGUUGUAAACUUCUUUGACCAGGGACGAAACAAAUGACGGUACCUGGAAAACAAGCCACGGCUAACUACGUGCCAGCAGCCGCGGUAAUACGUAGGUGGCGAGCGUUAUCCGGAUUUACUGGGUGUAAAGGGCGUGUAGGCGGUUUUGUAAGUCGGAUGUGAAAUUCCCAAGCUUAACUUGGGCGCUGCAUCCGAAACUGCAGAACUUGAGUACUGGAGAGGAUAGUGGAAUUCCUAGUGUAGCGGUAAAAUGCGUAGAUAUUAGGAGGAACAUCAGUGGCGAAGGCGACUAUCUGGACAGUAACUGACGCUGAGGCGCGAAAGCGUGGGGAGCAAACAGGAUUAGAUACCCUGGUAGUCCACGCCGUAAACGAUGGAUACUAGGUGUAGGGGGUAUCGACCCCCCCUGUGCCGGAGUUAACACAAUAAGUAUCCCACCUGGGGAGUACGGCCGCAAGGUUGAAACUCAAAGGAAUUGACGGGGGCCCGCACAAGCAGUGGAGUAUGUGGUUUAAUUCGACGCAACGCGAAGAACCUUACCAGGACUUGACAUCCUCUGACGAUCCAGGAGACUGGAUUUCCCUUCGGGGCAGAGAGACAGGUGGUGCAUGGUUGUCGUCAGCUCGUGUCGUGAGAUGUUGGGUUAAGUCCCGCAACGAGCGCAACCCUUAUUGCCAGUUACCAUCAUUAAGUUGGGGACUCUGGCGAGACUGCCGUGGAUAACACGGAGGAAGGUGGGGAUGACGUCAAAUCAUCAUGCCCCUUAUGUUCUGGGCUACACACGUACUACAAUGGCAACAACAAAAAGCAGCGAAACCGCGAGGUCAAGCGAAUCUCCAAAUGUUGUCUCAGUUCGGAUUGCAGGCUGCAACUCGCCUGCAUGAAGUCGGAAUUGCUAGUAAUGGCAGGUCAGCAUACUGCCGUGAAUACGUUCCCGGGCCUUGUACACUCCGCCC
This 997-nucleotide ribosomal RNA is filed under the name uncultured Bacillota bacterium. RNAcentral's name for it is "bacterial SSU rRNA". It matches the Rfam family "Bacterial small subunit ribosomal RNA", at positions 380 to 1395 of the family's 1533-position model. The record is from RNAcentral. Lineage: Bacteria; Bacillati; Bacillota.